RNAcentral lists this ribosomal RNA (515 nucleotides) under uncultured microorganism. RNAcentral's name for it is "bacterial SSU rRNA". It matches the Rfam family "Bacterial small subunit ribosomal RNA", at positions 9 to 508 of the family's 1533-position model. The record is from RNAcentral.
GAGUUUGAUCCUGGCUCAGGAUGAACGCUGGCGGCGUGCCUAAUACAUGCAAGUCGAGCGAACGGACGAGAAGCUUGCUUCUCUGAUGUUAGCGGCGGACGGGUGAGUAACACGUGGAUAACCUACCUAUAAGACUGGGAUAACUUCGGGAAACCGGAGCUAAUACCGGAUGAUAUUUUGAACCGCAUGGUUCAAAAGUGAAAGACGGUCUUGCUGUCACUUAUAGAUGGAUCCGCGCUGCAUUAGCUAGUUGGUAAGGUAACGGCUUACCAAGGCAACGGUGCAUAGCCGACCUGAGAGGGUGAUCGGCCACACUGGAACUGAGACACGGUCCAGACUCCUACGGGAGGCAGCAGUAGGGAAUCUUCCGCAAUGGGCAAAGCCUGACGGAGCAACGCCGCGUGAGUGAUGAAGGUCUUCGGAUCGUAAAACUCUGUUAUUAGGGAAGAACAUAUGUGUAAGUAACUGUGCACAUCUUGACGGUACCUAAUCAGAAGCCACGGCUAACUACGUCG